This 458-nucleotide ribosomal RNA is filed under the name uncultured bacterium. Its description in RNAcentral is "partial 16S ribosomal RNA". It matches the Rfam family "Bacterial small subunit ribosomal RNA", at positions 338 to 795 of the family's 1533-position model. The record is from RNAcentral.
CCUACGGGAGGCAGCAGUGAGGAAUAUUGGUCAAUGGCCUGAAGGCUGAACCAGCCAAGCCGCGUGAAGGACGAAGGUGCCAAGCAUUGUAAACUUCUUUUGUCAAGGGACAAAAUCAGGCUCGAGAGCCUGACCGAGGAUACUUGAAGAAAAAGCAUCGGCUAAAUCCGUGCCGAAGGCCGCGGUAUACGGAGGAUGCGAGCGUUAUCCGGAUUUAUUGGGUUUAAAGGGGGCGUAGGCGGACUGUUAAGUCAGCGGUAAAAACCCGGGGCUCAACCCCGGUGAGCCGUUGAAACUGGCGGUCUUGAGAUGUCGAGAGGUAUGCGGAAUGCGUGGUGUAGCGGUGAAAUGCUUAGAUAUCGCGCAGAACUCCGAUUGCGAAGGCAGCAUACCGGCGGCGAUCUGACGCUGAGGCACGAAAGCGUGGGUAUCGAACAGGAUUAGAUACCCUAGUAGUC